Molecule: long non-coding RNA, 343 nt
Filed under: Malus domestica (apple)
Lineage: Eukaryota; Viridiplantae; Streptophyta; Magnoliopsida; Rosales; Rosaceae
Description: long non-coding RNA (MDOM_LNC010539)
Source: RNAcentral
UGUUUUGAUUUGUGUUUCUAAGUGUUUUGAUUCAAGUUUUCAUCCAACUUCGUCCAAGUUCUUGUUAGGUUCUCAAAACUGCCCAGAAAGUGGUUUUUAGGCAGUUUUGAGUCAUUAGGUUGCUGUUUUGAGUUUUAUGUUUGUUUAAGUAUUUUAAAGUAUAGUUUUGCAUUCUUUGAGUCUAGUUUAGUGUUUUAAAUUUUGUUUUUAUAUUUUUAAGUCAGUUUUCAAGUGUUUAGCAAUCCCUCCUAAUCCCCGGCCUAGAACGAUCCCUACUUACAUACUUUACUACAUUUGAUAAAAAGAGGGUUUAAUUUUGUGUGUUAACUUAUUUUACGCAUCA